Molecule: long non-coding RNA, 1232 nt
Filed under: Homo sapiens (human)
Lineage: Eukaryota; Metazoa; Chordata; Mammalia; Primates; Hominidae
Description: non-protein coding lnc-ANKRD30B-11:1
Source: RNAcentral
GAGCCCACCCCUGUCUUCCUGCCUGCAGAAGUGGCUCUGUGAGCCAUUUGAGGAGAAAAUGGGGGACUUUGGGCUUCAGCCCGAGGAGAACAGGGUGGAGAUGGAGGAGCCCCUGGGCGUCCGCAGGUUAACUGAAAACAUGAGAAAACACAAGCACGGGACCAAGUCUGUCACUAACCUGUAAAAAACUCUCACCAAGCCGACUGGGCACUUUGUCUGAGCGCCUGCCUUUGCCACCACUGUGUGCGGGAAUGCCUGGGGCACGACUGGGCCAUCCCAGUGUUCUUAUGUCUAUACAUUCCGAGGUUACCCCUCAGCAAAACGCCAGAGGCUGGCAGACACAGCGGAGCAUCCUGCAGUAGGGAUCCGAAGCCGUGGAAUCUCCAAAGGACCACUUGACCGCGUCCCAGAAUCUCCAGCUCAGGCCGGACAUUGCCCAGAAAGCCCACAUCGUCUUUGGCAAGACCUCCCGGAUUGUGGUUUUGAUUUGCAUUUCUCUGAUGGCCAGUGAUGAUGAACAUUUUUUCAUGUGUCUGUUGGCUGCAUAAAUGUCUUCUUCCUCUGGGUGCCUUCCUAUCCUUCUGCUUCUUCCUUGGCCGCUUUAGGGGGCGCGCCUCGCCGUGGGUCUCCCUGCGGGUGGUGCAGUGGUGCUCCUGGAUGUCACCUCCAGGCGCUUUUGAGACUGCGGCAGGCACCGGGCACCAGGCACCUGCGGAUUGGCCUCCCCAGACCGGGCUCAGGGACCUCCAGCGCUCCGCGGUGCGGGCUGCAGGCGACCUCAACGUGGAGCUGCUGCCAGCGCCACAGGCCCCAGGGGAGGCCCAGGAUGCUGCUUCCCCGCCCCAAGAAGGGCAGUUUGGAGGAAAGUCUUUGGCCUGAUGGAAGGCGGCGCCCAUCGGGGGCGGGGCUGAGAACUAGGCUGGCGCCGCUGCCUGGUAAGCGGGGACCAAGAGGCCCACGGCCUCCAUCAGGAAGCAGGUGCUUCUCCAAAUCCCGGAUUUCCAGGAGGAACAACGGCGUCAAGCUGGCUGACACCAGGAACACCCAGAAGUCCCCGCUCCUGUCUGUCCUUCCGCACUCAGGAGCGGGGAUGGCCACAGGGACACCAUCCGCCCACAAACCGCUGGCGUUUGUUGCCAUGGUGCGCGGAGAUGCGGUCCCCGAGGAGGCCACUUUCGGCCAGGACGCCGGGAUCGUAUCAGCGGCAGCAUCCCGCGCUGACACUCAGUAUU